This 346-nucleotide ribosomal RNA is filed under the name uncultured bacterium. Its description in RNAcentral is "partial 16S ribosomal RNA". It matches the Rfam family "Bacterial small subunit ribosomal RNA", at positions 338 to 699 of the family's 1533-position model. The record is from RNAcentral.
CCUACGGGAGGCAGCAGUGGGGAAUAUUGGGCAAUGGACACAAGCCUGACCCAGCAACGCCGCGUGAAGGAAGAAGGCUUUCGGGUUGUAAACUUCUUUUGUCAGGGAAGAGUAGCAGACGGUACCUGACGCAUAAUCCACGGCUAACUACGUGCCAGCAGCCGCGGUAAUACGUAGGUGGCAGGCGUUGUCCGGAUUUACUGGGUGUAAGGGGCGUGUAGGCGGGUUGACAAGUCAGAUGUGAAAUCCUGCGGCUUAACCGCAGAAGUGCAUUUGAAACUGUUGAUCUUGAGUACUGGGGCGGCAGAUGGAAUUUCUAGUGUAGCGGUGAAAUGCGUAGAUAUUA